UAUGGACCCGGCGGACCAAGAUGCAGUGCGCUGCACGUUGGAGGCCCAGGAGAAGUUGCUGGGGAAGCACGACCAGCUCCUCACGGACAUUUGGACUUUGCUCCAGACCCUCAACGGCAGCGUGACAAACCUGCCCUCUUCAGGACAGGCGGAGCAGGUUCCGCCUCCUGUGGAGGCACCAAGAGCCGUCCUUCAGCCGGCCACCACUGCACCACAGGAGCCUCAUGUGCCCAUCCCGGAGCGGUAUUCUGGGCGAAGAUCGCUUUUGUCGUGAAUCUUCACUCCAGGAGAGUGGUGCAAUGGGCCAUGGCGGAUUUCAUGGCCGACCUUGACCACCCAGUCCAGAGUCGCAAGGCAGCCUCCCAGAUCCUCUCCCUAUGCCAGGGCUCCAGCUCCCUCGCAGACUACUCCACCCGGUUCUGCAUCCUCGUGGCCAGGAGCAGAUGAAAUGACGCAGCCCUCCAGGGGGUGUUCACCCAAGGACUCGCUGAGGAACUCAAAGAUGAGUUAGCUGCUUGGGAGGAAUCUGGGGAUCCGGAGACGUGAAUCAGCCUGGCUAUCCUGCUGGACAACCAACUGCAGGAUAGACGCCGGCAAAGAGUUAGCGAAUGACUGGCGAGGAGUUCAGGAAGCUCGACCAGAUGUUGUGGGGCUUUAAUUGAACCAUCAACUCCGGUGCCUGCUCCACCUCAUGAGGACGUUGUCGAUGAGGAGAAGACACAAGUACCAGGUGUUCCGGCUGGCCACUACCUCGCUGAUUGCCCGUCACGGCCCAAAGGACUAAGCCCAUCGACUCCCAUUAGAGUGUUGGCAAGCGGUUACUCCGCUCUGGCCCGCUUAACACUGCCGGGCACACUCCUCUGGGGCAAGGAAUCUGUCUCUGCGCCAUUCCUGGUGGACUCCGGCGCAGACAACAGCUUCAUCUGCCAGGACUUGGUCAUGCAAGCCCGCAUCCCUGUCGAGGCUCUGCCCGAGUCAAGACCCAUCCUUGGUCUCAACGGGGAUGUCCUGACAAAGGAAGUGGGGCAUUUCCCCCAUGUGGUGCAGCCGGGUGGCGCAGUCCAGGUGUCGGGGAUCGGUGAGGGACUCUGCCGCAGGAAGAGAGCUGCUGCAGUUUCGGGGUCCCGGUCUGGUCCAGCGACGCGGAGCCGGACCCCGUCUUACUCCGUUCCUGCAUCCUGGCAGUUGGAGCAGAGAGUCCAAGAGGCCCAGCAAUCAGUCCCGGAUCCAGGUGUGGUUCUACUGAACCGGCUGUUCGUCCCUGAGGUGGUGCGUUUCGACGGUCUGCACUGGGCCCACGCCUCAAGGCUGACCUGCCACCUGGGAAUCAUCCGCACACUACAGUUACUUUGGCAGCGGUUUUGGUGGCCCUCCAUUACCCGAGACACCAGGAACUACAUAGCAGCCUGUGCCAGGGAAAAGUCCUCCCACCAGCCCCUAUUGUCCGAUGUUCUGGAGGACGAGGUGGCGGUGCCCUCGGUUCAGGCCAACAUACGCCGGUGCAGGAGGGUGUGGAGGCAGGUCCGCGCUGCACUCCUGCGGGCCUCCCAGCGCUCUCAACGGCAGGCCAAUCAGCACCAGACUCCAGCCCCUUCCUAUCAGCUGGGUCAGAAGGUCUGGCUGUCUACAAAGGACCUCCCGCUCCAGGUGGAGUCUCGGAACCUGACUCCACGCUUCAAUGCCCUUUCGAGGUGGAGCGGAUGGUGA
Molecule: long non-coding RNA, 1707 nt
Organism: Takifugu rubripes (torafugu)
Lineage: Eukaryota; Metazoa; Chordata; Actinopteri; Tetraodontiformes; Tetraodontidae
Source: Ensembl